Molecule: long non-coding RNA, 1882 nt
Filed under: Vulpes vulpes (red fox)
Lineage: Eukaryota; Metazoa; Chordata; Mammalia; Carnivora; Canidae
Description: lncRNA (ENSVVUG00000007729.1)
Source: RNAcentral
GGAAAAGGCCAGGAGAAAAUACAGGAGAGAGGCCCUGUCUACACACCAAGCAGAGAGAUCUCACCAGAACCCAGGCUUGCCCAUGCCUGGAUCUCUGAUUUCCAGCCUCCAGGAUUGGGAGAAAGGAAUGUCUGUUGUCUAAGAUUCUCUUAAUGGGGGAAUCUGUGGGAUUUGGCCAUGGCAGCCUUAAUGGACUCAGACACAAGGGAUGAUAGUCAUAUCCUGUGGCAUCUGAAAUGUGCUCAUGUCAUCACUGGGGAAGAAGAAAGUGAGUGAAGUCCACGUGAGAUUNGAGUCAUAUCCUGUGGCAUCUGUGCUCAUGUCAUCACUGGGGAAGAAGAAAGUGAGUGAAGUCCACGUGAGAUUAUUUAAGCACUCAACAUCAUUAGACGUGGUGGAUGAGAUCAGGAUCAGUGUGGAACCGGCAGGUUUCCCUCACCAAGAUCUCUGUUGAAGGCUAACUUAUCAUGACAUCUUCGGGGCCCAAGGAGAGAAGCUGCAUGUGUUAUGCUCCAACAUUGGGAAACUAUAUAGUUACGAUGAAUGGGUACUUCUCGUGUGGCAUGUGGUGCCUCCACUGUACCCAGGGCUUCAUUAUUUCCAGACUGGGAGUCAUCCAGGAAGGACCCUGUUAUGACAUCCAAGGCGUGUUCCCAAAGUCAACUGUCAGAAGGAGACAGUUCAAGAAGCAGGGAUGUAACAGGAGACCCCAUGUAUUAUGCCAACUUCCCUCAAGGAGCCAUCUUCAGUGGAAGAGUCUGUGAUGCCCAUGCUACACCAGGAGACAGGCUCAUCUUUGCACCCAGUUUUGAUUACAUCGUGCCGAUAGCACCUGCUAAGCAAGAAGCAACUACCUUGAAGGGCUUGGAGGAGAAAUGUUAGCCAAGGGUAGUAGAAGAAUAUCACACAAAAAUUAAGAGAUUGGCCACUCCUAUGAAAUUUUUGUGGGGUCCGCUGGCUGUGAUUUGUCAGAGCAUUUCAUCCAAAUUGGAAGAAGAGGUAUUUUCCAGCCCUCCUUUGGGGUAUUCGAACAUACUGUGUUUUCUAAGUUAUUGGAAGCACUUCAGUGCUUUCAAAGAGACCACAUUAAGGAGAGGAAUUCUAGCAGCUCGGGGGAAGCAGUGUAAGCAGCCAUACUACUUGGCCUUGAGAACCCAAUAGCACCUGUAGAGUUUGCUUAAUCAGAACCUGAUGGGAGCAUCUACACGAGGACAAGAGUCAAGUUCUCAAGGUUACGAACUAAGUCUCCCUCAGCACAGAGCCAGCCUUUCAAUGAAAACCAGCUUCAGGGCUGCUUUUUGAGUCCCAGCAAAUAGAAAGAGAGGCUCAGUUAGAACUUAGUGACUACACAACCCAAGGUCCCCAUCCUGAACUGCCCAUGCCCACCACCAUGGAGUUGGUGUGGGUGUCAGCCUUAGGUCAUAAUUGGGACUGAGCUUUCACAGUUCCUGAAGGUGGAAGCAGGACCUAAAUAUGAAGGAUCCUUGGUCUGACAGUCUGCGAUUCCCAUUCUGUUGCACUGCCUGUUCUUCUGAAACCUAUACCCAGUGGAGUCAUGGGGUGGGUGGGGGGUUCCCAUGACCAUUUGAUGGUGGAGUCAUAAUGGCCACCUGGUUUACUGAUGACUCUACCGGAGGUGUUGGCAGCGGUCGAAGCAAAUAGCUGCAGACUUAUGAGCCAUUGGUGGUUUUCAGGUGCCUAAAAUGGGGAGGGAGACUAAAGGAGGAAACUAAGGUCACCAGUGAGAAAAUUUUCGAGGUGUAUCCAUUGGGGUCCACUUGCUGAGGAAGAUAGUUGGCUACAAUGAUGGAUGAACUACCUUUACUAAUACCUCUCUUUCCAUUUCCCAUGCGACUUUGCAUGGGGUAUUGGUAGGGUUUCU